UACGUAGGGGGCAAGCGUUGUUCGGAAUUACUGGGCGUAAAGGGCGCGUAGGCGGCACGGCAAGUCAGGAGUGAAAGGCCUGGGCUCAACCGAGGAACUGCUUUUGAGACUGCCGAGCUAGAGUGCAGAAGGGGCAACUGGAAUUCCCAGUGUAGCGGUGAAAUGCGCAGAUAUCAGGAAGAACACCCGUGGCGAAGGCGGCUCUCUGGGACGGUACUGACGCUGAGACGCGAAAGCGUGGGGAGCGAACAGG
This 253-nucleotide ribosomal RNA is filed under the name uncultured bacterium. RNAcentral's name for it is "partial 16S ribosomal RNA". It matches the Rfam family "Bacterial small subunit ribosomal RNA", at positions 524 to 776 of the family's 1533-position model. The record is from RNAcentral.